Molecule: ribosomal RNA, 458 nt
Filed under: uncultured Candidatus Brocadia sp.
Lineage: Bacteria; Pseudomonadati; Planctomycetota; Candidatus Brocadiia; Candidatus Brocadiales; Candidatus Brocadiaceae
Description: bacterial SSU rRNA
Rfam family: Bacterial small subunit ribosomal RNA
Source: RNAcentral
CCUUUUCGCAAUGCCCGCAAGGGUGACGAAGCGACGCCGCGUGUGGGAAGAAGGCCUUCGGGUUGUAAACCACUGUCGGGAGUUAAGAACUGUAAGGAUGCUAAUAGUAUUCUUACUUGACUAAGGCUCCGGAGGAAGCCACGGCUAACUCUGUGCCAGCAGCCGCGGUAAUACAGAGGCGGCAAGCGUUGUUCGGAAUUAUUGGGCGUAAAGAGCAUGUAGGCGGCUAUGUAAGUCGGUUGUGAAAGCCUUCCGCUUAACGGAAGAAUGGCGGCCGAAACUGCAUGGCUUGAGUGCGGUAGGGGAGAGUGGAACUUCUGGUGGAGCGGUGAAAUGCGUAGAUAUCAGAAGGAACGCCGGCGGCGAAAGCGACUCUCUGGACCGUAACUGACGCUGAGUGUGCGAAAGCUAGGGGAGCAAACGGGAUUAGAUACCCCGGUAGUCCUAGCCGUAAACGA